UCCCUGGUGGCUCAGACAGUAAAGAAUCUGCCUGCAAUGCAGAAGACCCGGGUUCAAUUCCUGAGCUGGGAU
This 72-nucleotide transfer RNA is filed under the name Ovis aries (sheep). It matches the Rfam family "tRNA". From Rfam's summary of the family: Transfer RNA (tRNA) molecules are approximately 80 nucleotides in length. Their secondary structure includes four short double-helical elements and three loops (D, anti-codon, and T loops). The record is from Rfam by way of RNAcentral. Lineage: Eukaryota; Metazoa; Chordata; Mammalia; Artiodactyla; Bovidae.